GACAUUUCCUCUAAUCAUUUACUCUAUGGCUGAUGGAGUGGCGCAUGAGAUCCACCAUACGGAGAGAGCAGCCACUAGACUUAGCUGGUUAAUGGAGAGAGCAGCCACUAGACUUAGCUGGUUAAUGGAGAGAGCAGCCACUAGACUUAGCUGAUGUCAAGGAGGAUGGAGGAGAUCAAGCGAGCACUUGAGCUGUCAACCGAGUUGGCAGUUAGGAAUCCAGGCAGAGCUACAGAGGAUCCUGGCCCUGAGGCACCAACCGAGUUGGCAGUUAGGAAUCCAGGCAGAGCUUACAGAGGAUCCUGGCCCUGAGGCACCAACUCUCGGGGCUCAGUGGACUGAAUGAGGAGUUAGGAACUCAGGGACUUUCUAGGACUGCACAGGUAGAACGAAAGAGGUUUCCAGGAGGAAGUGGGAGGCUGGGGAGACGGUGUGAACAGGAACCCUUCGUGACCUGACCCAGAAGCUUCUCUGUGAGCUCUGGUGCUUUUGGGGUCACAUAACUGUGGCACCUCAUCCAUCCUAGCACGAGACCUGCCCUGAACUGAGUCCCAGUGUGGGAAUCCACUUCCACAAGCGAGUGACCGUCAAGCAGGCACCUCGACGCCUCUUUAGCCCUCUGCCUCUAUUUGUGUCGUCAGGCCUGAGGUAACAGGAGAGGUCCGACCAGAGCCUGGACUUUAGCUGCCCACCCUAUGCCUACGGUGACCCUUUGAGGACUGCCAUCGGGCCUCCCUCUGCUCAUUUCCCCGGGAGGUGGAGAGGACAGGUUUAUUGCUUCAAGUUCAGUGGUACGGUCUGGGCUCUGGCUCCUAUGAGUCUUUGUGAAUCUGUGAAGGGUUCUCCAUGUGCAUGUCUGAGGUGACUCUUAAAUGGAUUAGGAAGUCGUAUCUCGGUGUGUAAGAGAAAGCUAUCGCACAUUUAAGGGUCUGUGUUUGCUCCUGAGCUUCAAGGCAGGAGAGCAGAGCAUGUUACCCCACCUGGUUCCUUUCUUAAGCAGACAUCACGAAGGAAACCUUGACAUUGGACCUGUCUCAAAGCUGGCACACUCUGUCUUUCUGCCAUUAUUUCGUUCGACUAGGAAUCCUUUGAGAGCUAGAAGGACUAGAAGCCCAGUUCUGCGAUCAGCUUCCUGAGACAAACAAGCUCAAAACUUUGUUCUAUGUAAGUUGGAACUUUCAGAGAAUAAUUAUCACGUGGAUGGCUUUUUUUUAAUGCAAAAGAAAAAGAUCUCAAAAUACUGUAUUUAUAUCUGCCUUCUACCGCCUCCCACACAGCGAGCAUCUCAGCCAACAACAGACAGCAGCAAUGUGGUACACAGAGUAUUUUGCACUUGGGGGAAAAAUAUGUAUCUGAACUUGUAAAAAGGAAUGUUUGGAUUUUGUAUUGUCUUUUUUAUAUUAUUAAAAUACUAAAUGAAACUCCG
This 1426-nucleotide long non-coding RNA is filed under the name Rattus norvegicus (Norway rat). RNAcentral's name for it is "long non-coding RNA NONRATT017210". The record is from RNAcentral. Lineage: Eukaryota; Metazoa; Chordata; Mammalia; Rodentia; Muridae.